AUAAUUAGUUGUUACAUUAUUGUAAUUUUGUGAGUGUAAUUGCUAAGGGUUUGGUAUUAGACUAUCAGUAUCACUUGAUGUGUUUUCAGAUCUAGAUCAAAAUAGGGAAAAGUUUGAACACAAUGGAAAACCAAAUGAUCAGAGUGGUUAGGGAAAUGUUCAAAUGUGAUGAAAAACAAAAUGACCAGAACAGUAAGGGAAAUGGUCAAAUGUGAUGAAAACCAAAUGACUAGAGCAGCUAGAAUUGCAGUAGUCUGACCAGUGCAGGUGGGCAUUUAAGUUGUUUGAUUUUUGCUCUGACGUUUUAAACUACUGAAGGCCAGUUCAAUGUAGGUUGGGCUGUUUAAAAUAGUCUGAUUUUCAGGUUGGAUCUGUGUAGGUAAUCUGAUUUUGGGCAACCUGG
This 403-nucleotide unclassified non-coding RNA is filed under the name Hevea brasiliensis (rubber tree). Lineage: Eukaryota; Viridiplantae; Streptophyta; Magnoliopsida; Malpighiales; Euphorbiaceae. The record is from RNAcentral.